Molecule: long non-coding RNA, 345 nt
Organism: Oncorhynchus kisutch (coho salmon)
Lineage: Eukaryota; Metazoa; Chordata; Actinopteri; Salmoniformes; Salmonidae
Exons: 2
Source: RefSeq, a predicted model, not a curated record
UGUAUGUAUUUGUACAGUGAGGAACUGACAUGUGUGUGGACCUCUUUUUUGACCCCAUAGGUCAGGAGGUUAAAGUGUCCGUUACUGAUGGUCGUUGGAGAAGCUGACCAGAACUGUGCCACCGCAGAAUCUGUCCAGGAUUGAUCAUGUUGUGGGGAGGGGAGUCCAAAUGGAGGAGGAUCCUGGAUCCUGGAGUUCCUUAAGAAGAACCUGUACCAAAGACAGGACCCCUCUGUCCCCUCAGAGCUGUGAGAUCCUCCUGGACUAUCUCCAUUAUAGUCGUCGCUUCUCCAGCUUCAUUAUCUGUCAGGGCCCUAUUCUUGAAAUUAAAGAGAGAAGAUAUUG